UACUGUGAUAAAGAAGGCACAUUUCCUUAUCAGUACUCCAGAACUAAGACUGCCCACUCAUCAUAAUCCAACUGCUUGAACUUGAAGGGACCAUAGAGACGACCUACUCCAUCUGAAACCUGAAUAGGAUUCCCUUCUACAACAUUUCUUGCAGCCUUCUGAGAUACUCUUUCUCAACCUUAUCCUGAGGAUAGCUGAACAACCAAGAAGUAGAAGGUAUAAAAAGACAAAUUUAGGGUUUCUAUUGGGGGGGGACUUCCUAAGAUUUAAGAGGAGUC
RNAcentral lists this long non-coding RNA (278 nucleotides) under Monodelphis domestica (gray short-tailed opossum). Its description in RNAcentral is "lncRNA (ENSMODG00000045809.1)". Lineage: Eukaryota; Metazoa; Chordata; Mammalia; Didelphimorphia; Didelphidae. The record is from RNAcentral.